Molecule: long non-coding RNA, 313 nt
Organism: Morus notabilis
Lineage: Eukaryota; Viridiplantae; Streptophyta; Magnoliopsida; Rosales; Moraceae
Exons: 3
Source: RefSeq, a predicted model, not a curated record
AAAUGUGCUCAAGUGAGGAAGGCUAUUCUUAUUGUAGGAGAAAGGAUGGCCAGACCAUUCUACAUUGUGCAAUAUUUGGGGAGGAUUUUGAGUUGGCGCUUCAGAUAAUUUCCUUGUACAAGGGACAACUUGUCAAUCUUGUUGACGAGGAUGGAAUUUCCCCUCUCUAUACUUUAGCAAGCAAGCCUUCUUGCUUCAGAAGUGGUACCAAUUAUGGACGAUGGGGCAAUAUCUUUUAUAAUUGUAUUUACGUAGACCACCCCAAGAUGAAAUCACUGGAUGCAAAAGAUACUGAAAACUACAGUUAUCCUGA